This is a non-coding RNA of Potamilus streckersoni, 72 nucleotides long. The record is from the annotation of a GenBank genome assembly. Lineage: Eukaryota; Metazoa; Mollusca; Bivalvia; Unionida; Unionidae.
GCUCUAAUGGCCUAGUGGUUAGAGCGUCUACCUCAAAUGCGAGAGGUCGCGGGUUAGAACUCCGGCCGAGUU